RNAcentral lists this long non-coding RNA (816 nucleotides) under Piliocolobus tephrosceles (Ugandan red Colobus). RNAcentral's name for it is "lncRNA (ENSPTEG00000029857.1)". Lineage: Eukaryota; Metazoa; Chordata; Mammalia; Primates; Cercopithecidae. The record is from RNAcentral.
AUUAAUUGUUGUAAUUUACCCACGUUUUAUUUUCUCAUGCCAUAUUUGUCUUACGCUUUAUUAGGUUUUACUAAAAAACUCCAAUGCGAAUAAUAAGAAAAAAAUAAAACCGGGAUGUACUAUUUUCGUUUUUUAUCUACCAAAUGACUGGAGUGACAAAGACUUAAAAAGGCAUUUUUCGCAUUAUGGUAAUAUAUUAGGUGCUACAAUAAAAAGAGAAAAUAAUGGUAAAAGCAGAGGUUAUGGUUUUAUAAAUUUUGAACAUCAACAUAGUGCGGUCAAUGCUGUUGCUGGAAUGAAUGGUUUUAAUGUUGGGAAUAAAUAUUUAAAAGUUUCCAUAAAAAAGGGAGAAGAACAGUAUUUAGCACCACAUUAUUUGAAUAUGCAUCGAAGACCAAACAAUUUGUAUACUGUUGCUCCACCACCACCUCCUCCCUUAAGAUGUCAUUCAAACGACUCACCAGAGUAUAAUGCGAAUGAAUUAUUUUCUUCUAUUCAAAACACUUUACAAAAUAAUAGAUUUAAUACGAGGGUUAAUAACAACGAUGUACAUCAACCUUUUAUGAAUUCGCACUAUGGACAUUUCAUUAUAACUUUUUUAAAAAUAACGACCAUGGACAAUAUAUUCAGCGAUCUUAUAAUAAAAAUUUUAACAACGUUGGAAAAACCUGAACUUAUUAAAAUUUUUAACAUAGUGAUAUACGUAUACAUAUAAACGUGUGGUAAAUAUAUGUACACGUGUGGUAAUUACAUGUAUACGUUUACGCUAAAAAAAAAAAAAAUAAAAAAUAAAUUGUAAUAUAUAUAUAUAUAUAU